AACCGGAUUAGAUACCCGGGUAGUCCUAGCUGUAAACGAUGUUCGCUAGAUGUGGCACAGGCUACGUGCCUGUGCUGUGUCGUAGGGAAGCCGAGAAGCGAACCGCCUGGGAAGUACGUCCGCAAGGAUGGAACUUAAAGGAAUUGGCGGGGGAGCACUACAACCGGAGGAGCCUGCGGUUUAAUUGGAUUCAACGCCGG
This 200-nucleotide ribosomal RNA is filed under the name uncultured archaeon. RNAcentral's name for it is "partial 16S ribosomal RNA". It matches the Rfam family "Archaeal small subunit ribosomal RNA", at positions 722 to 921 of the family's 1478-position model. The record is from RNAcentral.